GGUAAUCAAGGCAAAACCUCUACCUGCAGGGAUAGCCAUGCUGCGAGAAGAGAUGAUUCAUCUACGAGUCCUGGAAUUGGCAAGAGGGGAGAGGAUUAAUAAUAUAUGGACUGACUCCAGAUCUGCAUUUGAGAUAGGGCCUGCUCAGGGUGCUGUCCGGAACAGAAGAUUGUGUGAAGGUCAAGGCUUUUUCAGGUCAGUGUCUGGAGGAGAAGUGGAAUGGAUCACACCAGGUGCUUCUGACAACCUUCAUGCCAAUCAAGAUGAAAGAACAGCCUGCCUGGAUUCACUAUUCAGGAGGCAUCCAAAGGAGCAUGGACCUCAGAGCCAGUAGGACUAACGAUCUGCAAGUUCUGAUGCUGACCCUUGGUGUUCUGAUCAGUAUCAUAAUUCUGGCUCUAAUCUUUACCUUACCCUGGCCAUAGUCCCCCACACUCACAUCAGCUGUCGGCCGUGAUAUUUUCUGAAAAAUCCCUUCGCCAGGAUUUCUUCUCAUGGGAGAUUGGGAGGCCUUGGAGAGGAAUGAAAAUAAUAAUUAUCUAAUUGCUUUUCCCUGUUUUGCUGCUUUGGAAUUUCAUCUGGAGAUUGUUUGUCCAGCAGGUGGUUGGUUGAUUGGUCUCAUGUGAAUUGUUUUACCUAAUGACCAAUUCCUGUCCUGCUGUGUCAGACUCUGAGGAAUCAAUCACAAGUUUUCAUUAUCAUUCUUGUUAAGCCUUCUGUCUCUGUUGUUCUCUAUAGUUUAGUAUAGUUUGAGUAUAGCAUUCUUUAAUAUCAUAUAAUAUAUCAUAUAUCUUAUAUCAUAUAUAUCAUAUAUCAUAUAUAUCAUAUAUCAUAAUAUAAUAAAUCAGCCUUCUAAGAA
Serinus canaria (Common canary) is the source of this 859-nucleotide long non-coding RNA. RefSeq lists it as uncharacterized. The record is from RefSeq and is a predicted model, not a curated record. NCBI's taxonomy places the organism in Eukaryota, Metazoa, Chordata, Aves, Passeriformes, Fringillidae. The transcript has 2 exons.